Molecule: non-coding RNA, 72 nt
Organism: Monopterus albus (swamp eel)
Lineage: Eukaryota; Metazoa; Chordata; Actinopteri; Synbranchiformes; Synbranchidae
Source: the annotation of a RefSeq genome assembly
UCCCUGGUGGUCUAGUGGUUAGGAUUCAGUGCUCUCGCUGCCGUGGCCCAGGUUCGAUUCCUGGUCAGGGAA